UUACGGGAGGCAGCAGUAAGGAAUAUUGGUCAAUGGAGGCAACUCUGAACCAGCCAUGCCGCGUGCAGGAAGACUGCCCUAUGGGUUGUAAACUGCUUUUAUUCGGGAAUAAACCUUAUUACGUGUAAUAAGCUGAAUGUACCGAAGGAAUAAGGAUCGGCUAACUCCGUGCCAGCAGCCGCGGUAAUACGGAGGAUCCAAGCGUUAUCCGGAUUUAUUGGGUUUAAAGGGUGCGUAGGCGGCCUGUUAAGUCAGGGGUGAAAGACGGUAGCUCAACUAUCGCAGUGCCCUUGAUACUGAUGGGCUUGAAUGGACUAGAGGUAGGCGGAAUGAGACAAGUAGCGGUGAAAUGCAUAGAUAUGUCUCAGAACACCGAUUGCGAAGGCAGCUUACUAUGGUCUUAUUGACGCUGAGGCACGAAAGCGUGGGGAUCAAACAGGAUUAGAUACCCUAGUAA
Molecule: ribosomal RNA, 457 nt
Filed under: uncultured bacterium
Lineage: Bacteria
Description: bacterial SSU rRNA
Rfam family: Bacterial small subunit ribosomal RNA
Source: RNAcentral